GACGAACGCUGGCGGCGUGCCUAAUACAUGCAAGUCGAACGCUGAAGGAGGAGCUUGCUUCUCUGGAUGAGUUGCGAACGGGUGAGUAACGCGUAGGUAACCUGCCUGGUAGCGGGGGAUAACUAUUGGAAACGAUAGCUAAUACCGCAUAAUAGUAGAUGUUGCAUGACAUUUGCUUAAAAGGUGCAAUUGCAUCACUACCAGAUGGACCUGCGUUGUAUUAGCUAGUUGGUGGGGUAACGGCUCACCAAGGCGACGAUACAUAGCCGACCUGAGAGGGUGAUCGGCCACACUGGGACUGAGACACGGCCCAGACUCCUACGGGAGGCAGCAGUAGGGAAUCUUCGGCAAUGGACGGAAGUCUGACCGAGCAACGCCGCGUGAGUGAAGAAGGUUGUCGGAUCGUAAAGCUCUGUUGUAAGAGAAGAACGAGUGUGAGAGUGGAAAGUUCACACUGUGACGGUAGCUUACCAGAAAGGGACGGCUAACUACGUG
RNAcentral lists this ribosomal RNA (495 nucleotides) under uncultured bacterium. RNAcentral's name for it is "partial 16S ribosomal RNA". It matches the Rfam family "Bacterial small subunit ribosomal RNA", at positions 28 to 507 of the family's 1533-position model. The record is from RNAcentral.